Molecule: ribosomal RNA, 411 nt
Filed under: Triticum aestivum (bread wheat)
Lineage: Eukaryota; Viridiplantae; Streptophyta; Magnoliopsida; Poales; Poaceae
Description: partial small subunit ribosomal RNA
Source: RNAcentral
AUGCUCUACUCCUCCGUCGUCUACUUGCACAACUACGGCUUCAUCCCGCGCACCCUCUGCGACGACUCCGACCCCAUCGACGUCCUCGUCAUCAUGCAGGAGCCCGUCGUCCCGGGGUGCUUCCUCCGCGCCAAGGCCAUCGGACUCAUGCCCAUGAUCGACCAGGGCGAGGCCGACGACAAGAUCAUCGCCGUCUGCGCCGACGACCCCGAGUACCGCCACUUCAACGACAUCAAGGAGUUGCCUCCCCACCGGCUCGCCAAAAUCAGGCGAUUCUUCGAAGACUACAAGAAGAACGAGAACAAGGAGGUGGCCGUCAACGACUUCCUGCCGUCAGAGGUCGCCUACGAGGCCAUCCAGCACUCCAUGGAUCUUUAUGCUACUUACAUUGUCGAGGGCCUGAGAAGAUAG